This 512-nucleotide long non-coding RNA is filed under the name Struthio camelus australis. RNAcentral describes it as "lncRNA (ENSSCUG00000015988.1)". The record is from RNAcentral. Lineage: Eukaryota; Metazoa; Chordata; Aves; Struthioniformes; Struthionidae.
AACUCCCUUGUCCAGCAACAGAAAAAAAACGUAGCACAGAGGGAAGGAAAAACAAACUCUUCCUUGUCUGUCCCAUGCCUUGGCUUGCAGCAAAUGGUUGCUUAAGCACUGGCUGGAGCCUCCUCCUGCUGCAGGUGGCCAUGGGUGUGGAAAGAGGAACGUUCAAUCCAAGCAGACCGCAGAUGUGAUGCCCACCUGCCCUUGUGCUUCCUUUUGCCCACAUUAGUGGAAGUUAAGAGACGUGCCAGACCUAGGCAUCUGAGAGCCAACAACUGAGCUGUGCCUGAAGGAGGAACUACUGGAGUGGAACGCAUCAGUCAAGCCAAGAGCCACCAGCCAGAAUGCCACUGUGGGAGAACAUCUGGUACCACUGAAAGAAACUAGGGGCUGGAAAAGCCAGGGGUGGACUGAACAAACAGUGAGCCGGCACGGGAUGCAGUGGAGCAUGUUCAUCGGUACGAGUGUUGGACAAUGGAACCAAAACAAUUGCUUUUGUGGGAGUUCGGCUCAUU